GUGAACCAGUACCGUGAGGGAAAGGUGAAAAGCACCCCGGAAGGGGAGUGAAAUAGAACCUGAAACCGUGUGCUUACAAGUAGUCAGAGCCCGUUAAUGGGUGAUGGCGUGCCUUUUGUAGAAUGAACCGGCGAGUUACGAUUUGAUGCAAGGUUAAGCAGUAAAUGUGGAGCCGUAGCGAAAGCGAGUCUGAAUAGGGCGUUUAGUAUUUGGUCGUAGACCCGAAACCAGGUGAUCUACCCUUGGUCAGGUUGAAGUUCAGGUAACACUGAAUGGAGGACCGAACCGACUUACGUUGAAAAGUGAGCGGAUGAACUGAGGGUAGCGGAGAAAUUCCAAUCGAACCUGGAGAUAGCUGGUUCUCUCCGAAAUAGCUUUAGGGCUAGCCUCAAGUGAUGAUUAUUGGAGGUAGAGCACUGUUUGGACGAGGGGCCCCUCUCGGGUUACCGAAUUCAGACAAACUCCGAAUGCCAAUUAAUUUAACUUGGGAGUCAGAACAUGGGUGAUAAGGUCCGUGUUCGAAAGGGAAACAGCCCAGACCACCAGCUAAGGUCCCAAAAUAUAUGUUAAGUGGAAAAGGAUGUGGCGUUGCCCAGACAACUAGGAUGUUGGCUUAGAAGCAGCCAUCAUUUAAAGAGUGCGUAAUAGCUCACUAGUCGAGUGACACUGCGCCGAAAAUGUACCGGGGCUAAACAUAUUACCGAAGCUGUGGAUUGUCCUUUGGACAAUGGUAGGAGAGCGUUCUAAGGGCGUUGAAGCAUGAUCGUAAGGACAUGUGGAGCGCUUAGAAGUGAGAAUGCCGGUGUGAGUAGCGAAAGACGGGUGAGAAUCCCGUCCACCGAUUGACUAAGGUUUCCAGAGGAAGGCUCGUCCGCUCUGGGUUAGUCGGGUCCUAAGCUGAGGCCGACAGGCGUAGGCGAUGGAUAACAGGUUGAUAUUCCUGUACCACCUAUAAUCGUUUU
This 962-nucleotide ribosomal RNA is filed under the name Staphylococcus aureus. RNAcentral describes it as "partial 23S ribosomal RNA". It matches the Rfam family "Bacterial large subunit ribosomal RNA", at positions 490 to 1460 of the family's 2925-position model. The record is from RNAcentral. Lineage: Bacteria; Bacillati; Bacillota; Bacilli; Caryophanales; Staphylococcaceae.